RNAcentral lists this ribosomal RNA (951 nucleotides) under Sheathia exigua. Its description in RNAcentral is "eukaryotic LSU rRNA". The stretch from base 253 to 405 matches the Rfam family "5.8S ribosomal RNA". The record is from RNAcentral. Lineage: Eukaryota; Rhodophyta; Florideophyceae; Batrachospermales; Batrachospermaceae.
UUUCCGUAGGUGAACCUGCGGAAGGAUCAUUCAUGUUUAUAAAACAGCCUUUUAGGGGGGGUGUUGUGUGGAACGCGCUUCCGAGUGCUUUUGCAUGCAUUCUUCCUAAGAGGCUACAACCAUUCCGGUGACCAUUGUAAUCCAUUUUUGCAAAACGGUGCGCGCUCUCGGGCGAGGCGCUGUUUUGUCUUUCUACUUUUUUUUUAAAACCCACCAUGAAAAACCACAACAGAAACGAAACCAAGAAAAUAAAACUCGUGACGGAGGAUAUCUUGGCUCCCACAUCGAUGAAGAACGCAGCGAAAUGCGAUACGUAGUGUGAAUUGCAGAACACGUGAGUCAUCGAAUCUUUGAACGCAAGUGGUGCUCGUGGGCAAUCCUGCGAGCAUGUCUGUUUGAGUGUCCGCACAAAUUACUCGCUCCCCUUUUGCUUCUCUUUUUGGAUUUAUUCGAAGAGUGCAACGAAAGGGUGGCGGCGAUUGGGUUUUUAAUAUAUAUCUGCUUCACUGCGGAAGACCCGGAAUGCAGUGCUUGGAAGUACACAUGGGGCGUCAGCUCUAUGUUUCCGUGUGCAUCAACAUAUCUGCGCGACUAUCUAGCGCGGAAAUCCAGUGUUUAAAACAGCAAGCAAUGCGUGGUGCUCUUGUAGCGUCCGCUGCGCUGAAAAGAAAGGAAGUCUGGACGGGAUGACCGUUUCAGAGCUCUCUGCUGGGAAGUAACUACAUUCCAGGGGGGCGAUGAGAUGGAUGUUUUUGAGCCGGACUGCCAGGAAAAAACUUUUCGGGGCACAUGGUGGGAAAAUCGAUGGAGAAGUGGAGCCAUUAUUUAUGGUGUACAGUUCUGUGUUGGUAUCCUGCGGUGUAAAAGGCGGUGCGUGAAUGGGUGCUGUACACUACAUGCGCAGUGCGUCACUGGCGGACUUUAUUUUCGGAUCUCAAAUCAGGCAAGACU